AGGAUAAACGCUGGCGGCGUGCAUGAGACAUGCAAGUCAAACGGACGAUCAGGGCUUGCUCUGGUCGUUAGUGGCGGACGGCUGAGUAACGCGUGGGUGACCUGCCCCGAAGUGGGGAAUAACUGCCCGAAAGGGUGGCUAAUACCGCAUGUGGUGGUGCGUUCAUUCGCACCAGUAAAGCCGCAAGGCGCUUCGGGAGGGGCCUGCGUCCGAUUAGCUCGUUGGUGGGGUAACGGCUCACCAAGGCGACGAUCGGUAGGUGGUCUGAGAGGACGAUCACCCAGACUGGGGACUGAGACACGGCCCAGACUCCUACGGGAGGCAGCAGUCGGGAAUUUUGCUCAAUGGACGAAAGUCUGAAGCAGCAACGCCGCGUGAGGGAUGAAGGCCUUCGGGUUGUAAACCUCUUUCAGCAGGGGAGAAGCCUUUCGGGGUGACGGUACCUGCAGAAGAGCACCGGCUAACUACGCGCCAGCAGCCGCGGU
RNAcentral lists this ribosomal RNA (485 nucleotides) under uncultured bacterium. Its description in RNAcentral is "SSU rRNA". It matches the Rfam family "Bacterial small subunit ribosomal RNA", at positions 26 to 521 of the family's 1533-position model. The record is from RNAcentral.